Molecule: small RNA, 107 nt
Filed under: Salmonella enterica
Lineage: Bacteria; Pseudomonadati; Pseudomonadota; Gammaproteobacteria; Enterobacterales; Enterobacteriaceae
Also listed under: 1 other name
Description: partial RtT sRNA
Rfam family: RtT RNA
About the family: This family represents a bacterial cis-regulatory element known as RtT RNA. The exact function of RtT is unknown although it is thought that it may be involved in changing the cellular response in relation to amino acid starvation.
Source: RNAcentral
UGUAUCUGAAGCCUGACGAGGAUGAGAACCUCCGGGGGCAAGAGGUUCGACCCGAGCGAAGCGAGAGAACGUUGCGUCAGCAACGGCCCGCAGGGCGAGCCACGCAG